AGUAAACCGGUAUUCCUGUCCUGAAGAUGUCAGCACCAACAGGUUAUGGGCCCAGGAGGGAACAUGGAAGCCGAUGGAAUAGAUUAUAUUUCGACGGAGAUGAAAAAAAGUACGAGUUAUGGGAGACAAAGUUUUUGGGGCACUUGCGUUUGCUUGGGCUAAAGGCCGCCAUAUUGAGCGUGGAUGAAGAUGAAGAAGACAGAGAGAAAAAUGAAGAAGCCUACGCCGAAUUGAUACAGGUUUUGGAUGAUAAAAGCCUUUCCCUGAUAAUGAGAGAAGCAGCAGAUGAUGGGAGAAAAGCGUUGAAGAUAUUGAGGGAACAUUAUGCAGGUAAAGGGAAGCCACGUGUGAUUAGCCUCUACACUGAACUAACUUCUCUUCAGAAAGCCGCUGACGAAAGUGUUACGGACUAUAUCAUUCGUGCUGAGACGGCUAUUACAGCACUGAGAAAUGCUGAAGAGACUUUAAGUGACGGGCUGUUGAUUGCAAUGAUUCUGAAAGGUUUGCCCGAAUCAUUUAAGCCGUUUGCCAUCCACAUAACGCAGAGUGACGAGCCGACAACUUUUGGCGAGUUCAAAACCAAGUUGAGGAGCUAUGAAAGCACCGAGAAGUUUAGCGCCAUUUCCACUGACGACAACGUGAUGAAGGCAAGUAACAUUAAAGUUAGCUGGCCAAGAGGGAGAGAUAAAGGGACCGAGAUAACCUGCUUCAACUGUGGCCAGAAAGGGCACAAGGCCCGGGAAUGUACUGUUACUGGAGAGCGCAAAGAACGGAGAAAGUGGUGUAGUUUUUGCAAGAGCUCCACUCAUACUGACGCAAAUUGCAGACGAAAAAGAAGAGACAAUGUGAAACAAGCAACAGAUGCUGAAAGCCACACAUUUGCAUUCAGAAUAAGUGACUGUCAGGUUAGUGGACUGAAACAGAAAGGGCUGAUGGUUGAUACGGGAGCAACGUCACAUAUAGUCACGGACAUCGGGAAGUUUAAGGAGUUUGACGAGACUUUCAAACCGGAAAAACAUUCCGUGGAGCUGGCUGACGGAACAAGAACGAAUGGUGUCGCGGAGAGGAGAGGUGCAGCGGAGGUUUACCUGAGAGACAACACGGGUCGUCGGGUAAAAACAACGCUGAUGAAGGCGCUGUACGUGCCGUCGUUUCCACAGGACAUUUUCUCUGUUAAAGCAGCGACAGCCAACGGAGCUUCAGUCAACUUUCGACAGGGGUGUAACAAGCUCAUCCACAAGAACGGUACCACUUUUGACAUCGAGGAGUACGAUAGACUUUACUAUCUUAACACUGUAAGUGAUGAAUAUGAUGAUGGAUGUCAUGGGUGCUAUGAUAUUCACACAUGGCACAAAAUUCUUGGACACUGUAAUUUUGAGGAUGUGUCAAAGUUAGAAAAUGUGACAGAGGGAAUGAAAAUCACAGGUAAAAUUGACAAAUCUACCCUCAACUGUGAAAUCUGCACUCAGGGAAAAUUUGUUCAGAGCAGAAACAGAGAGCCUGAUGAAAAAGCAAAAGCGGCUCUUGAGCUUGUGCACACUGAUUUGGCUGGCCCUAUUGAGCCAGAGGCGAAAGAUGGGUUCAGAUAUACUCUAGCAUUUACGGAUGAUUAUUCAGGGGCAGUUUUUGUGUAUUUCCUAAAAGCAAAGAGUGAUACUGUAAAAGCUACUGAGAAGUUUAUUGCUGAUGUGGCCCCUUAUGGGAAAAUAAAGUGUGUCAGGUCAGAUAAUGGCACAGAAUUCACAGCCAAAGAGUUCCAGUCACUGCUCAGUAAGAACGCCAUAAGACAUGAAACUUCAGCCCCUUACUCACCCCAUCAAAAUGGGACGGCUGAGAGAAAUUGGAGAACAUUGUUCGAAAUGGCAAGAUGCAUGCUACUUGAAAGCAACCUACCAAAGAACUUGUGGACAUAUGCUGUAAUGACUGCUGCAGUAAUUCGCAAUAGGUGUUACAAUAAGCGUGUAGGACAGACUCCACACUACAUGUUUACUGGGAGAAAGCCUGAUCUUUCAAAGAUGAAAGAAUUUGGAUCUGUUUGCUAUGCAUAUAGACAGAACAAGAAAAAGUUAGACUCAAGAUGUGAAAAGGGUAUUUUUGUCGGGUAUGAUAAAAAUAGUCCAGCAUACCUAGUCUACUACCCAGACACUGGGAAAGUUCUUAAAAACAGAUUAGUCAAGUGUGUUACAAAAGGUGUAGUCGAACACCAAACUCAGACAGAUUUGGAAAUCAGUGAUGAUCUUCAUGGGGAGAGAUUUGAAAACCCCAUGCCGAAAGCCAAGAUGGCAGAUCAAAACUCAGAAGAGACACAAGAUGUGCAAAUUGAGACAUCAGAUGGUCAGAGUCCACGCUAUCCAGACAGAGCGAGGAAGAAACCCCAGUACUUAAAAGACUAUGAGUGUAAAGUGAAAUGUGAUGACCAGAUACCACCUAGUGUUGACUACUGCUACAGAGUAAUGUGCAAUGCACCACAAACCUUCAAAGAAGCAAUGAUUUCACCAAAAUCAGAGAUUUGGGCUACUGCUAUGAAGGAGGAGAUGGAUUCCCUUAGGGAAAAUGAUACAUUCACAUUAACCACACUGCCAGAGGGUAAAAAUGCAGUGGGGGGCAGGUGGGUCUAUGCGGUCAAAAACAAUUCAGAUGAGACUGAGACAUACAAGGCAAGAUAUGUUGCAAAGGGGUAUAGUCAAGUGGCAGGAAUAGACUAUAAGGAGACUUUUUCUCCAACUGCAAAUAUGACAUCAGUACGCUGUUUGAUGCAGCUAGCAGCUCAGUAUGACUUAGAGUUACAUCAGAUGGAUGUCAAAACAGCAUAUCUACAUGCUCCUAUUGACUGUGAAGUGUACAUGGAGCAACCAGAGGGUUUUGAAGUCAGGUCAGAUACAGGUGAGCAACUAGUCUGCAAACUGAACAAGUCACUGUACGGCCUGAAACAGUCAGGAAGGAACUGGAACAAAAUGUUGCAUGAUCACCUUAGUGAAAAUGGUUUUACACAGAACCCAGCUGAUCACUGUGUUUAUAACAAACAAACUGCAACAGAAAGGAUCAUUUUGAUAAUUUGGGUCGAUGAUCUAAUUAUCGCUGCUAGUGAUAGUGACUCACUCACAAGUGUAAAAGAAAUGUUACGUGAAAAAUUUAAGAUGAAAGAUCUUGGGAGGCUUGGACAUUUCCUAGGCAUUGAUUUUACACAAAGUGAAGGGAAAAUAACGAUGAACCAAACAAGGUAUAUAACCAAGAUACUGGAAAGGUUUGGUAUGUCAGACUGUAAAACAAGGUCAACACCAUGUGAACAAAAACCAAACUUUGAUGGUGAUGGUGAACUUAUUGAUUCAAAAAGGUAUCGUGAAGUGAUAGGCAGCUUGAUAUAUGUAAUGACAUGUACAAGACCGGAUAUCAGUUGGAUUGUCAGCAAGCUGUCACAAUACCUAUCAGAACCAAAAGAGCAACACUGGAUAACAGCUAAACAUGUGUUGAGGUACUUGAAGGGAACAAUGAAUCAGGAGUUGUGUUACAAAAAGGGGGUGGAAAAACUCAACCUUGUAGCAUAUAGUGAUGCUGAUUGGGCAGCAGAUCAAAGUGACAGACGAAGCAUAACAGGGUAUUGUUUUAGUUUAACUAAAUGUGGACCUGUCAUUUCAUGGAGGUCUAAGAAGCAGCCAACAGUAGCUUUAUCUACAUGUGAAGCAGAGUACAUGGCACUGGCUGCUACUACACAAGAAAGUUUGUACCUUGUACAGUUAUUGGGCGAGAUGGAUAGUGAGUGUCAAUAUACACCAGUAACAAUCUUUGAAGAUAACCAAGGUGCAAUUGCUCUGUCAAAGAACCCAGUAUGUCGUCAGAGAUGUAAACAUGUCGACAUCAGAUAUCAUUUCAUUCGAUCUGCACUCAGUGAUGGUAAAAUAAGUAUUGAAUAUUGUCCAACGGCAGACAUGGCUGCAGAUGUUUUGACUAAACCUGUAACGAAGUUCAAAAAUGAAAAAUUCUUGGGUUACAUGUUUGGAAUAUAAACUGACAUUUGUGAGAUGAAUAACUGUAAGCUAAAUGUGUUGAUAAAGUUAGGUUGAAUACGACUUGUACAGUAUAAGAGCAAGUGGGGGUGUUGGCAUGUGGACUAAUAUGUUGUUGAGUUGUGUUCUUACACUGGUACAGUCAUGCCAUAUAUGAGAGAUGUAUGACUGCGCAUGUGCAAAAAUAAAUAAAGCGCAUUUUUCCCCCGUUCUGGUUAAGACACCAAUGAUGAACAUGUGUGUUUAUUCCUCCGUUAAGUAAACCGGUAUUCCUGUCCUGAAGAUGUCAGCACCAACAAUAUUAAUGCACAACACAAACUAUAUGAAUAACGUUACAAGAUAACACAAUGAAAAUACUCAUGCCAUGGAAAAGUGAUGUACCGUUUAUGUGCUGUAUUUAUGUAGCUUUUCAGGUGUCGACUAGAGUAAUUCACAUAAUCGGUCAAAAGCAAAUGUUAGCUAGUUAACUACUGCCAGUGGUUCUGAAAACAUUGCUUUUAGUCAGCCAACUGUACCAUAUGGUGACCACAGACAAGUAUAUUUACCUUGUGUCAAAAUUAAUCCUCCAGCUUCUGUUCCUUGCAACACUUCCCACAACAUACUGUAUUUACAGGCUUAACAGCUUGCUAACGUUAUAGCAAGGAUGUUGGUUACCACGUGUGAUACCUCUUCAUCUGCCUUCUUCAAACAUUGAUGUUCCUCUACAAAUCUGACAAUUAUCAUGACUAGCUUUUGUCAGCUGGAUAUUCAUCUCGGUUAACCCAACUAAAGUCUUGCGUUUACGAAAGAUUACCUGGACAUUAGAUGGAACAUGGAAGUUUGCGUUUAGGAGAAUAAUUAAGUUGUGCGAGUGCAUUAAAUGUACAUUUCAACACAAGUCAAUCAGCUCGGGUCGGGAAAAACUCCAUACCCCAGAAAGCAUCUGGUUAUUAGCCUGACGCCAUUCUUUUUUUCCCAUGACAUUAUCAAUGUAGCAAAUGGAAUUAAAUUCUUUAUGAAGUGAUUGAUUGAUACAAGUAGAGUCUCCCGGUCAAUGACCUAUAUAAAUACAAUUUCAUGGAUCAGGAGAGCAGUGAGCAUUCUGUUAUGCAGGUAGAAUUACCAGCAGUUCAAUGAAGAGAUGUUGCAGUUCCGUGAACCCCAUUCCUGUCUUGUGGAACUUUGGCACGAACGCAGAGCUGGUUGACUGUUUGGAAAGCUGUGGCUAGUGAUCAAUCGUUCAUAAACAAACUACUCAGUGUUUCGGCACGGCUGUGCUGUGACUGGGUCAGAGAUGGUAGGAGAUAAUGAUGGAGAAGCAAGUAUGGAGCAUAGUGGUACAAAUAAAGGAGGGAGUAGGGGUUUGAAGGGGAGUGAGAGGUCUAUGGAGGCAGAAAAUGAAGUUUGAGGAGAGCAACAUAGUUUCUAACACUAGCGCUAUCCAGGCUGUAUCACAUCCGGCCGUGAUUGGGAGUCCCAUAGGGCGGCGCACAAUUGGCCCAGCGUCGUCCAGGUUUGGCCGGGGAAGACCGUCGUUGUAAAUAAGAAUUUGUUCUUAACUGACUUGCCUUGUUAAAUAAAAAAAAAUAGAGGCAGUUCGGAGGUAGAAAGUGCCGAUAAAGUGCAAGACGCGCUGGGAGCAUAAAUUAUUCUGAAGUUUAGGAAGGAAAGGGGAGUUGGGGCGAUGAGUCCGAUAAGGUUAACGGCUGUGAUAAAAUAGUUGAUCGGGGGAAGUUGUCAAUGCUAAAUUGUUAAGAGAUGGGAACUUCUUGGUGUUCUGUAAGGACAUGGCGCAAAGGGAAAAAGCUCUCAGAGUGAAGGUGGUGUCGAGCAGCUGAACUGAUCAAGCAGGGAAGCAGUGGAUUAAAGGGGUGAUAACAGGAGUUCCUGUGAGUGUUAACACUAAAGAGGUAAG
RNAcentral lists this long non-coding RNA (5898 nucleotides) under Salmo trutta (river trout). RNAcentral describes it as "lncRNA (ENSSTUG00000047667.1)". The record is from RNAcentral. Lineage: Eukaryota; Metazoa; Chordata; Actinopteri; Salmoniformes; Salmonidae.